Molecule: ribosomal RNA, 252 nt
Filed under: uncultured bacterium
Lineage: Bacteria
Description: partial 16S ribosomal RNA
Rfam family: Bacterial small subunit ribosomal RNA
Source: RNAcentral
UACGUAGGGUGCGAGCGUUGUCCGGAAUUAUUGGGCGUAAAGAGCUCGUAGGCGGUUUGUCGCGUCGGCCGUGAAAUCUCCACGCUUAACGUGGAGCGUGCGGUCGAUACGGGCAGACUUGAGUUCGGCAGGGGAGACUGAAUUCCUGGUGUAGUGGUGAAAUACGUAGAUAUCAGGAGGAAUACCGGUGGCGAAGGCGGCUCGCUGGGACGUAACUGACGCUGAGACGCGAAAGCGUGGGGAGCAAACAGG